GCUAAACGCGAAGAACCUUACCAACCCUUGACAUGUGUAUCGCGGUUCCAGAGAUGGUUCCUUCAGUUCGGCUGGAUACAACACAGGUGCUGCAUGGCUGUCGUCAGCUCGUGUCGUGAGAUGUUCGGUUAAGUCCGGCAACGAGCGCAACCCACACUUUCAGUUGCCAUCAUUCAGUUGGGCACUCUGGAAGAACUGCCGGUGAUAAGCCGGAGGAAGGUGUGGAUGACGUCAAGUCCUCAUGGCCCUUACGGGUUGGGCUACACACGCGCUACAAUGGUGGUGACAAUGGGUUAAUCCCCAAAAGCCAUCUCAGUUCGGAUUGGGGUCUGCAACUCGACCCCAUGAAGUCGGAAUCGCUAGUAAUCGCGUAACAGCAUGACGCGGUGAAUACGUUCCCGGGUCUUGUACGCACCG
RNAcentral lists this ribosomal RNA (417 nucleotides) under uncultured bacterium. RNAcentral's name for it is "bacterial SSU rRNA". It matches the Rfam family "Bacterial small subunit ribosomal RNA", at positions 954 to 1392 of the family's 1533-position model. The record is from RNAcentral.